GGUUGUAUAGUGUAGCGGUCAUCACAUCGGAUUCUGAUUUGGUGUUAGCUUACCAUAUCAUUCCGGGAACCCCGGUUCGAUUCCGGGUACGACCU
This is a non-coding RNA of Podospora aff. communis PSN243, 95 nucleotides long. NCBI's taxonomy places the organism in Eukaryota, Fungi, Ascomycota, Sordariomycetes, Sordariales, Podosporaceae. The record is from the annotation of a GenBank genome assembly.